This 352-nucleotide ribosomal RNA is filed under the name uncultured Methanosaeta sp. RNAcentral describes it as "bacterial SSU rRNA". It matches the Rfam family "Archaeal small subunit ribosomal RNA", at positions 338 to 690 of the family's 1478-position model. Lineage: Archaea; Methanobacteriati; Methanobacteriota; Methanomicrobia; Methanotrichales; Methanotrichaceae. The record is from RNAcentral.
GGCGCGAAAACUUUACAAUGCUGGGAACAGCGAUAAGGGAACCUCGAGUGCCAGGUUACAAAUCUGGCUGUCGUGAUGCCUAAAAAGCAUUAUAUAGCAAGGGCCGGGCAAGACCGGUGCCAGCCGCCGCGGUAACACCGGCGGCUCGAGUGGUAACCGUUAUUAUUGGGUCUAAAGGGUCUGUAGCCGGCCGGAUAAGUCUCUUGGGAAAUCUGGCAGCUCAACUGUCAGGCUUUCAGGGGAUACUGUCUGGCUCGAGGCCGGGAGAGGUGAGAGGUACUUCAGGGGUAGGGGUGAAAUCUUGUAAUCCUUGAAGGACCACCAGUGGCGAAGGCGUCUCACCAGAACGGAC